AACGAACGCUGGCGGCAUGCCUAACACAUGCAAGUCGAACGAGAUCUUCGGGUCUAGUGGCGCACGGGUGCGUAACGCGUGGGAAUCUGCCCUUUGGUUCGGAAUAACAGUUGGAAACGACUGCUAAUACCGGAUGAUGACGAAAGUCUAAAGAUUUAUCGCCAGAGGAUGAGCCCGCGUAGGAUUAGCUAGUUGGUGUGGUAAAGGCGCACCAAGGCGACGAUCCUUAGCUGGUCUGAGAGGAUGGUCAGCCACACUGGGACUGAGACACGGCCCAGACUCCUACGGGAGGCAGCAGUGGGGAAUAUUGGACAAUGGGCGAAAGCCUGAUCCAGCAAUGCCGCGUGAGUGAUGAAGGCCCUAGGGUUGUAAAGCUCUUUUACCCGGGAUGAUAAUGACAGUACCGGGAGAAUAAGCCCCGGCUAACUCCGUGCCAGCCGCCGCGGUAA
This 449-nucleotide ribosomal RNA is filed under the name uncultured bacterium. RNAcentral describes it as "partial 16S ribosomal RNA". It matches the Rfam family "Bacterial small subunit ribosomal RNA", at positions 29 to 523 of the family's 1533-position model. The record is from RNAcentral.